GGACUACACGGGUAUCUAAUCCUGUUUGCUCCCCUUGCUUUCGCGCCUCAGCGUCAGGAAUAAGCUAGAAAACCGCUUUCGCCACAGGUGUUCUUCCACAUAUCUACGCAUUUCACCGCUACACGUGGAAUUCCGUUUUCUCCGCUCUUCCUCUAGAAACGCAGUUUCAGAUGCACAGCCGAAGUUGAGCUUCGGUAUUUCACAUCUGACUUACAUCCCCGCCUACGCGCCCUUUACGCCCAGUAAUUCCGACUAACGCUUGCACCCUCCGUAUUACCGCGGCUGCUGGCAC
This 292-nucleotide ribosomal RNA is filed under the name uncultured bacterium. RNAcentral's name for it is "partial 16S ribosomal RNA". The record is from RNAcentral.